UUGAACGCUGGCGGCAUGCCUUACACAUGCAAGUCGAACGGUAACGGGCCUUCGGGUGCCGACGCGUGGCGAACGGGUGAGUAAUACAUCGGAACGUGCCCGAUCGUGGGGGAUAACGAGGCGAAAGCUUUGCUAAUACCGCAUACGAUCUACGGAUGAAAGCAGGGGACCGCAAGGCCUUGCGCGGACGGAGCGGCCGAUGGCAGAUUAGGUAGUUGGUGGGAUAAAAGCUUACCAAGCCGACGAUCUGUAGCUGGUCUGAGAGGAUGAUCAGCCACACUGGGACUGAGACACGGCCCAGACUCCUACGGGAGGCAGCAGUGGGGAAUUUUGGACAAUGGGCGCAAGCCUGAUCCAGCCAUGCCGCGUGCAGGAUGAAGGCCUUCGGGCUGUAAACUGCUUUUGUACGGAACGAAAAGCCUUCUUUUAAUACAGGAGGGUCAUGACGGUACCGUAAGAAUAAGCACCGGCUAACUACGUG
Molecule: ribosomal RNA, 481 nt
Filed under: uncultured bacterium
Lineage: Bacteria
Description: partial 16S ribosomal RNA
Rfam family: Bacterial small subunit ribosomal RNA
Source: RNAcentral